This 476-nucleotide long non-coding RNA is filed under the name Brassica napus (rape). Its description in RNAcentral is "long non-coding RNA (BNAP_LNC020987)". Lineage: Eukaryota; Viridiplantae; Streptophyta; Magnoliopsida; Brassicales; Brassicaceae. The record is from RNAcentral.
CAUGAUCACACGCAGCGAAGUAUCAUGCAUAUGCUUGGAUAUGAAUUAUAAUCACUGAAAUACUCAUGGGGACCAGCUUCUAGACCAUUACGCCAUGACUGAAACUGACAAACUGUUGUAGAUAUUUAUAAGACGUUGAAAAGGAAAAGAGACUGGAAUAAUUUGUUUUGUAGCAAGCGGCACCCUUACCUGAUCAUGUCGAUCAGAAAUAAAUACAAUCUAAUAAAUAUGCCCAUCUCCUGCCAGAUAAUUCAAUAACUUAGGUGUAUUCAAUGUUUUACAAUCUUGUUAGUCUUGUGUAUGGAAGAUAUAAAAUACAUGGAUAGCCCCGGGCAAAAAAACCAGAACCAAAAAAUCAAAUCGAAUCUUCAAAUACCUGAAUAUCCGAAAAAAUCAAGUUUCAACUUUUUAAUAUAAGAUAAAAUGUUAUUAACUCCACUGGGUUGAACAUGAAAAGUGAAAACAUUAUUACCACC